AAUCAGCCGACCUGGUGAUCAUAAACAGCAGAGAAGAACAGGAGUUUGUAGAUAGCUUGUCCAAGGGCAGUUUUGCAAGUUUUUGGAUUGGUCUGACUGACAGAGACACAGAGGGGGUGUGGAAAUGGGUGGAUGGUACAGCACUGAACACUGGGUACUGGGAUGGAGGGAGUCCCAGCAAUUUGAAUGGAAAUGAGGACUGUGUUGCUACUGAUCAUAAUUUUUAUAGUCUGAAAAGCUGGAAUGCUGUGUCAUGUUCUAAUCGUUUAAGUUUGAUCUGUGAGAAGAGACUUUUCUA
Molecule: long non-coding RNA, 298 nt
Organism: Chanos chanos (milkfish)
Lineage: Eukaryota; Metazoa; Chordata; Actinopteri; Gonorynchiformes; Chanidae
Exons: 3
Source: RefSeq, a predicted model, not a curated record